RNAcentral lists this ribosomal RNA (253 nucleotides) under uncultured bacterium. RNAcentral's name for it is "partial 16S ribosomal RNA". It matches the Rfam family "Bacterial small subunit ribosomal RNA", at positions 524 to 776 of the family's 1533-position model. The record is from RNAcentral.
UACGUAGGUGGCAAGCGUUAUCCGGAUUUAUUGGGUGUAAAGGGCGUGUAGGCGGGAAUGCAAGUCAGAUGUGAAAACUAUGGGCUCAACCCAUAGCCUGCAUUUGAAACUGUAUUUCUUGAGUGCUGGGGAGGCAAUCGGAAUUCCGUGUGUAGCGGUGAAAUGCGUAGAUAUACGGAGGAACACCAGUGGCGAAGGCGGAUUGCUGGACAGUAACUGACGCUGAGGCGCGAAAGCGUGGGGAGCAAACAGG